This 117-nucleotide non-coding RNA is filed under the name Mandrillus leucophaeus (drill). RNAcentral also lists the same sequence under 1 other name. Lineage: Eukaryota; Metazoa; Chordata; Mammalia; Primates; Cercopithecidae. The record is from Rfam by way of RNAcentral.
GCCAGGUGUGGUGGCUCACACCUGUAAUCCCAGCGCUUUGGGAGGCCGAGGUGGGCGGAUCACCUGAGGUCAGGAGUUUGAGACCAGCCUGGCCAACAUGGUGAAACCCCAUCUCUA